GAGAGACGGAAUUGGCCGCUGCGCCUCCUCCCGAGGCAUGCUGGGAGCCUGGAGGACUAGUGAGGAGGAGUUGAGAGAACGGAGCGGACGCCAUGGCGACCAACAUCGAGCAGAUUUUUAGGUCUUUCGUGGUCAGUAAAUUCCGGGAAAUUCAACAGGAGCUUUCAAGUGGAAGGAGUGAAGGACAGCUCAAUGGUGAAACAAACACACCUAUUGAAGGAAACCAGGCAGGUGAUGCCGCUGCCUCUGCCAGGAGCCUACCAAAUGAAGACAUAGUUCAGAAGAUAGAGGAAGUACUUUCUGGGGUCUUAGAUACAGAAUUACGAUAUAAGCCAGACUUGAAGGAGGCAUCCAGAAAAAGUAGAUGUGUGUCUGUCCAAACAGAUCCUACUGAUGAAAUUCCUACCAAAAAGUCGAAGAAGCAUAAAAAGCACAAAAAUAAAAAGAAGAAAAAGAAGAAAGAAAAGGAGAAAAAGUAUAAAAGACAGUCAGAAGAAUCUGAGUCAAAGCCGAAAUCACAUCACGAUGGGAACAUAGAAUCGGAUUCCUUUUUGAAGUUUGAUUCUGAACCUUCAGAGCUGGCACUGGAGCAUCCUGUGAGAGUGUUUGGCCUGUCUGACACCAGUGAGUGUCCCGCAGUUGGGCUUGAACAUCCUGUGGUUUCGAUGGAAGUCUCAGAGCCACACACCUUAGAAACUCUGAAGCCAGCUACAAAACAUACAGAACUGUCAGUUGCAUCUACAUCAGUAGUAUUAGUGCAGUCAGAGGCAGUAAUGCUGGAACCAUCCACAACAAAGAUUCUGGAUUCCUUUGCAACAGCACCAGUGCCUACUACAACAGUAGUGCUAAAGUCAUCUGAGCCAGUGGUAACAAUGUCAGUGGAGUGUCAGGUGAAAUCUGUGCAGAAAUCUUUGGAGAGCGCACCUCCAGAGCCAUCAGAGAUUAUGUUGCUAGAGUUAUCAGAAACUCUUGUGUCAUCAGAGACACCUACUGAGGUGCACCCUGAGCCAAACACGUCAACAACAAUGGAUUUUCCAGAGUCGUCAGCAACUGAAGUGCUAAGAUUGCCAGAGCAGCCUGUAGAAGGACCAUCAGAGAUUGCAGAUUCAUCCAUGACACGACCGCAGGAGAUGCUGGAGCUGCCCAAGACCACAGCGUUGGAGCUGCAGGAGUCGUCGGUGGCCUCAGUGAUGGAGUUGCCGGGGCCACCUGCGACCUCCAUGCCGGAGUUGCAGGGGCCCCCUGUGACUCCAGUGCUGGAGUUACCUGGGCCCUCUGCUACCCCGGCACCAGAGUUGCCAGGGCCCCUUUCUACCCCAGUGCCUGAGUUGCUAGGGCCCCCUGCAACAGCAGUGCCUGAGUUGGCGGGGCCCUCUGUGACAUCAGUGCCACAGUUGUCACAGGAAUUGUCAGCGCUUCCAGCACCAUCCAUGGGGUUGGAGCCACCACAGGAGGUACCAGAGCCACCUGUGAUGGCACAGGAGUUACCAGGGCUGCCUGCGGUGACAACAGCAGUAGAGUUGCCAGGGCAGCCUGUGGUAACAGUAGCAAUGGAGUUGACCGAACAACCUGUGACGACGACAGAGUUGGAGCAGCCUGUGGGGAUGACAGCGGUGGAACAUCCUGGGCAGCCUGAGGUGACAACGGCAACAGGGUUGCUGGGGCAGCCUGAGGCAGCAAUGGUGCUGGAGUUGCCAGGACAGCCGGUGGCAACGACAGCGCUGGAGUUGUCAGGGCAGCCUUCGGUGACUGGGGUGCCAGAGUUGCCAGGGCUGCCUUCGGCAACUAGGGCGCUGGAGUUGUCGGGGCAGCCUGUGGCAGCUGGGGCACUGGAGUUGCCUGGGCAGCUCAUGGCAGCUGGGGCACUGGAGUUCUCGGGGCAGUCUGGGGCAGCUGGAGCCCUGGAGCUUCUGGGGCAGCCUUUGGCAACAGGGGUGCUGGAGUUGCCAGGGCAACCUGGGGCGCCAGAGUUGCCUGGGCAGCCUGUGGCAACUGUGGCGCUGGAGAUCUCUGUUCAGUCUGUGGUGACAACGGAGCUGUCAACGAUGACCGUGUCGCAGUCCCUGGAGGUGCCCUCGACGACAGCGCUGGAGUCCUAUAAUACGGUAGCACAGGAGCUGCCUACUACAUUAGUGGGGGAGACUUCUGUAACAGUAGGAGUGGAUCCCUUGAUGGCCCAGGAAUCCCAUAUGUUAGCUUCUAACACCAUGGAGACCCAUAUGUUAGCAUCCAACACCAUGGACUCCCAAAUGCUAGCGUCCAACACCAUGGACUCUCAAAUGCUAGCAUCCAACACCAUGGACUCCCAGAUGUUAGCCUCUAGCACCAUGGACUCCCAGAUGUUAGCAACCAGCUCCAUGGACUCCCAGAUGUUAGCAACCAGCUCCAUGGACUCCCAGAUGUUAGCAACCAGCUCCAUGGACUCCCAGAUGUUAGCAACCAGCUCCAUGGACUCUCAGAUGUUAGCAACCAGCUCCAUGGACUCCCAGAUGCUAGCCACCAGCUCCAUGGACUCUCAGAUGUUAGCAACCAGCACCAUGGACUCCCAGAUGUUAGCCACUAGCUCUAUGGACUCCCAGAUGUUAGCAUCUGGCACUAUGGACUCUCAGAUGUUAGCUUCUGGCUCCAUGGAUGCUCAGAUGUUAGCGUCUGGUACCAUGGAUGCCCAGAUGUUAGCAUCUAGUACCCAAGAUUCUGCUAUGUUGGGUUCAAAAUCUCCUGAUCCCUACAGGUUAGCUCAGGAUCCUUACAGGUUAGCUCAGGAUCCGUAUAGGUUAGGUCAUGACCCUUACAGGCUAGGUCAUGAUGCCUACAGGUUAGGGCAGGACCCCUAUAGAUUAGGCCAUGAUCCCUACAGACUAACUCCUGAUCCCUAUAGGAUGUCACCUAGACCCUAUAGGAUAGCACCCAGGUCCUAUAGAAUAGCUCCCAGGCCAUAUAGGUUAGCACCUAGACCCCUGAUGUUAGCAUCUAGACGUUCUAUGAUGAUGUCCUAUGCUGCAGAACGUUCCAUGAUGUCAUCUUAUGAACGCUCUAUGAUGUCUUACGAGCGGUCUAUGAUGUCCCCUAUGGCUGAGCGUUCUAUGAUGUCAGCCUACGAGCGCUCUAUGAUGUCAGCCUAUGAGCGCUCUAUGAUGUCCCCUAUGGCUGAGCGCUCUAUGAUGUCAGCCUACGAGCGCUCUAUGAUGUCAGCCUACGAGCGCUCCAUGAUGUCCCCAAUGGCUGACCGAUCUAUGAUGUCCAUGGGUGCUGACCGGUCUAUGAUGUCGUCAUACUCUGCUGCUGACCGGUCUAUGAUGUCAUCGUACUCUGCAGCUGACCGAUCUAUGAUGUCAUCUUAUACUGCUGAUCGUUCAAUGAUGUCUAUGGCAGCUGAUUCUUACACCGAUUCUUACACUGAUACAUACACGGAGGCAUAUAUGGUGCCACCUUUGCCUCCUGAAGAGCCUCCAACAAUGCCACCAUUGCCACCUGAAGAGCCACCAAUGACACCACCAUUGCCUCCUGAGGAGCCACCAGAAGGUCCAGCGUUAGCCACUGAGCAGUCAGCAUUAACAGCUGAAAAUACAUGGUCUGCUGAGGUGCCAGCAUUACCUCCUGAAGAGUCUGUAUCGCUGCCUGAACCUCCUGUGAGUCAAAGUGAGAUUGCAGAGCCUUUGGCAGUGACUGCUAAUUAUUCAGUGUCAGCAUCAGAGCCUUCAGUGUUAGCAUCAGAGGCUGCCGUGACUGUUCCAGAACCACCGCUAGAGCCAGAGUCUUCAGUUAUGUCAACACCUGUAGAGUCUGCUGCUGUAGCAGAAGAGCAUGAAAUUGUUGCAGAGAGACCAGUGACUUACCUGGUGUCUGAAACUCCCACAACAUCAGCUGAACCAACUGUGUUAACCUCAGAGCCUUCUGUUAUGUCAGAAACAGCAGAAACUUAUGAUUCCAUGAGGGCUUCAGGACAGACUGCCUCAGAGGUAUCUAUGUCCCUGCUGGAGCCAGCAGUACCUAUUGCAGAACCAUCACAGAGCACUGUAGAUCUGCCAGCCAUGACUGUCUUAGAGCCGCCAUCUGUGGCUGUUUCAGAGCACCCAGCUGGGACUGUUUCAGAGACAUCAACCAUGGCUGUCCCAGAGCCACAGGCUGAGGCUGUCCUAGACCCUCCAGCUGCAGCUGUCCUGGACCCACCAACUGAGGCUGUCCCAGAGUCCCUGGCCUUGUCUGAGCCAGAGCAUGUUACCAUUCCUUUGCCAGUUGUUUCUGUCCUGGAGCCUACUGUGCCUAUCCUGGAACCAGUGGUGUCUAUCCUUCAACCUAAUGUGAUUGUUUCAGAACCAUCUAGUUGUGUCCAAGAGUCCACUGUGACAAUUUCAGAGCCUCCUGUCACUGUCUCAGAGCAGACUCAAGUAAUACCAACUGAGACAGUUGUAGAGUCUACACCAGUAAUAUUAGAGUCUAGUGUUAUAAAAGGAAUGAAUUUACUAUCUGGUGAUCAAAAUAUUGCUUCAGAGAUUGGCAUACAGGAGAUAGCCAUGCAUUCAGAUGAAGAGCCACGUGCUGAAGGACUCCUGAAGAGUGGCUCUAACGAAACUGAAAGUUGUAUAAAUACAGACCUUAAUAUAAAUAAUCACUUAAUUGCUCAAGAGAUGGAACAUAUCACAGUGUCUGCUGCCAGCACUGGUGCUGUUGGUGAAAUUGGUGAAGAGACAAUUUUGCCUACUAGUGAGACUAAACAAUGCACAGUGUUGGAUACCUGUCCUAGUGUUGGUGAAACUGAGCUAGGAGGAACUCUGUCUUCUAUUGGUCCCCUUGUCCUUGAACCUGAAGCAGUGGGAACUGGUAAGGAUCUUGAAUUUGGCACAGCAUCUGCUCUCAGUUCAGUUAGUAAAUAUGAUGUUGAAGUAUCUUUAACUACUCAAGAUACUGAACAUGACAUGGUAAUUUCCACCAGCCCCAGUGGUGGUAGUGAAGCUGACAUAGAGGGACCUUUGCCUGCUAAAGACAUUCAUCCUGAUUUACCUAAUAAUUUUAUCAGUAAGGAUGCAGAAGGAUCAUUACCUGUACAGGAGAGUGAUCAGAUGUUAGCAGCUGCUGUAAGUCCUAAAGAAAGUAGUGGAGAAGAUAAAGAAGUGUCUCUCUCUACUAAAGAGAUAGUGUCUGAUUCAGGAUUUCCUGCCAGCAUUGAUGAUAUUAAUGAAGCUGAUUUAGUGAGACCAUUACUUCCUAAGGACAUGGAACGUCUUACAAGCCUUAGAGCUGGUAUUGAAGGACCUUUACUUUCGAGUGAGGUGGAACGGGAUAAAUCUGCUGCCAGUCCAGUUGUAAUUAGCAUACCAGAAAGAGCUUCAGAGUCGUCUUCAGAGGAAAAAGAUGAUUAUGAAAUUUUUGUAAAAGUUAAGGACACACAUGAAAAAAGCAAGAAAAAUAAGAACCGUGACAAAGGCGAGAAAGAGAAGAAAAGAGACUCUUCAUUAAGAUCGAGAAGUAAACGUUCCAAGUCUUCUGAACACAAAUCUCGAAAGCGCACCAGUGAAUCUCGUUCUAGGGCCAGGAAGAGGUCAUCUAAGUCCAAGUCUCAUCGGUCUCAAACACGUUCGAGGUCACGAUCACGACGCAGGAGGAGGAGCAGCAGGUCAAGAUCAAAGUCUAGAGGAAGGCGAUCUGUAUCAAAAGAGAAGCGCAAAAGAUCUCCAAAGCACAGAUCCAAGUCCAGGGAAAGAAAAAGAAAAAGAUCAAGCUCCAGGGAUAACCGGAAAACAGGUAGAGCUCGAAGUCGCACCCCAAGUCGUCGGAGCCGGAGUCACACUCCAAGCCGUAGGAGAAGAUCCAGAUCCGGGGGGAGAAGGAGCUUUAGCAUUUCCCCAAGCCGACGGAGUCGGACCCCAAGUCGACGGAGCCGCACCCCUAGCAGACGGAGCCGCACCCCGAGCCGUCGGAGCCGGACCCCGAGCCGUCGGAGCCGGACCCCAAGCCGUCGGAGCCGGACCCCGAGCCGUCGGAGAAGAUCAAGGUCUGUGGUAAGAAGGCGAAGCUUCAGUAUAUCACCAGUCAGAUUACGGCGAUCACGAACACCCUUGAGAAGAAGGUUUAGCAGGUCUCCAAUCCGUCGCAAACGAUCCAGGUCUUCAGAAAGAGGCAGAUCACCUAAACGUCUCACAGAUUUGAAUAAGGCUCAGUUACUUGAAAUAGCCAAAGCUAAUGCAGCUGCCAUGUGUGCUAAGGCUGGUGUUCCUUUACCACCAAACCUAAAGCCUGCACCUCCACCUACAAUAGAAGAGAAAGUUGCUAAAAAGUCAGGAGGAGCUACUAUAGAAGAACUAACUGAGAAAUGCAAACAGAUUGCACAGAGUAAAGAAGAUGAUGAUGUAAUAGUGAAUAAGCCGCAUGUUUCGGAUGAAGAGGAAGAAGAACCUCCUUUUUAUCAUCAUCCCUUUAAACUCAGUGAACCCAAACCCAUUUUUUUCAAUCUGAAUAUUGCUGCAGCAAAGCCAACUCCACCAAAAAGCCAGGUAACAUUAACAAAAGAAUUCCCUGUAUCAUCUGGAUCUCAACAUCGGAAAAAAGAAGCCGAUAGUGUUUAUGGAGAGUGGGUCCCUGUAGAGAAAAACGGUGAAGAAAACAAAGAUGAUGAUAAUGUUUUCAGCAGCAAUUUGCCCUCUGAGCCUGUGGACAUCUCUACAGCAAUGAGUGAACGGGCACUUGCUCAGAAAAGACUCAGCGAGAAUGCAUUUGACCUUGAAGCUAUGAGCAUGUUAAAUCGUGCUCAGGAACGGAUUGAUGCCUGGGCUCAGCUGAACUCUAUUCCCGGCCAGUUCACAGGAAGUACAGGAGUGCAGGUUUUGACACAAGAACAGUUGGCCAAUACUGGUGCCCAAGCCUGGAUUAAAAAGGGCCAAAUCCUUGUAGCUGUCUUCUUGCCCCGGUCAGUGCCAGCCCUACUAUUCACAACACUGCUGCUACCGAGGCCUAGGAUCAGUUCUUAAGAGCAGCCCCAGUAACUGGAGGGAUGGGAGCCGUUUUGAUGAGGAAAAUGGGCUGGAAAGAAGGAGAAGGAUUAGGAAAAAACAAAGAAGGAAAUAAGGAACCUAUCCUAGUUGAUUUUAAGACAGAUCGAAAAGGUCUUGUUGCAGUAGGGGAAAGAGCACAAAAGAGGUCCGGAAACUUCUCUGCUGCAAUGAAAGAUCUGUCAGGCAAACAUCCUGUGUCUGCCUUGAUGGAAAUCUGUAAUAAGAGAAGGUGGCAACCACCUGAAUUUCUCUUGGUCCAUGAUAGUGGCCCUGAUCAUCGCAAACAUUUUCUCUUUAGGGUAUUGAUAAAUGGAAGCGCUUACCAGCCCAGCUUUGCCAGCCCUAAUAAGAAGCAUGCUAAAGCCACAGCAGCUACUGUGGUUCUUCAAGCAAUGGGCCUUGUACCAAAGGACCUCAUGGCUAAUGCCACUUGCUUCAGGAGUGCCUCACGUAGAUAGAUUGAGGUUUUAUAUUAAUCAUUUCAGAUAAUUUUACUCUGCAUCAAAAUGUAUUUCCUCUUUAAUGUUGUAAAUAUUUGGCAAUUUAAGACAUUGUGUAAAAAAAGCAAUCUGUACAAACAUCUCCAGGCUUUGAUUUUUGUACCAUGGAAAUUGUAUUUAACCAUACAGGGUUUUGGUAUGUUUAUAUUGUUUACCUUAGUGAUGUAUUUGUUUAAGUGGCUAACAUCCAAACGACUGUUUGAAGGCAUCCGUAAUCUUCAGUGUGGAAUGUUAAAAAUAACGCUUUUAUACUGUAUUUUGUACUAUGAUGUAACUCCCCUUCCUUAUGGCUAGGCUGCUGUAACACUUGCCUGUAAUCAGUGAAGGGCUGUGCACCUUGUACUAGUUCACAAUGGGUUCUGCUGGACAGAUACUGGGCCAGUGUUAUUGCGUUAAUCAAGCAAGAUCUGUUCCGCAGGGCUAACGCCACCACCUCCCCUUUCAAAUUUUGUAGAGGUUAUGAAAAAGACAGUGGUUGUUGUGUGACGAUGAGCACUGAGUCCUGCGUUUCUGUCAGAGCCACUUGGGCCGUGAUGAGAAGGGAGUAAAAAUGAAGUCUGAAUAGAAUUUUACCGCAGAGGCCAAGUACAUUUAGUAUGGCAUUGAGUUGUGAUAUAGUUUUACUUUGAUGUGCAUUUUGAAUUUCAGCUACACCUAGAUAGACGUAAAAUGAUAAUUAAAAUGCUGUAACCAACUUAUCUAAUAAAAUCGGCACCCAGCCACUAUUUUGUUGACUAUGAGAAAGUUUAAGUUUAUGUUAAUUUUUAGGGUCUGAUAGAAUAUUUCAUGUGUAUUACAGUGGUAUUCAUAUGCUAUGUCUCUAAACUUUAUUUUCAAAAGCUUAAGGCCCAAAUAUAAACUUCUCUGGAAUAAA
This is a non-coding RNA of Odocoileus virginianus texanus, 8363 nucleotides long. NCBI's taxonomy places the organism in Eukaryota, Metazoa, Chordata, Mammalia, Artiodactyla, Cervidae. The record is from RefSeq and is a predicted model, not a curated record.